Molecule: long non-coding RNA, 297 nt
Filed under: Lathyrus oleraceus (garden pea)
Lineage: Eukaryota; Viridiplantae; Streptophyta; Magnoliopsida; Fabales; Fabaceae
Description: Pisum sativum (pea) long non-coding RNA (PSAT_LNC039162)
Source: RNAcentral
ACAGAGCAAAGUUAAAUCCCUAAGUCCUUGAAAUGGUUAGUACAAUGUUAUGAUGUCAUGAUGUUAUGAUGUUAUGAGGUUAAAUAAAUAACAAGCACAAGCAAGUCACACAACCAUCAUUCCUAGGUUUUAAGGCUUGCAUGAGUUCUUAGGUAAGUACCCUCCCCACUGAAGUUUAGUUGGUUCAACCUGUCCUAGAAUAGUAACCGGGUUCUAAAAGGAUCUCAGAUCAUCGACCUUCCUUUAAGUCCACUUCAGUGCAACACCAAGUGGUUGACCGAAGCUUCCCUAAAGUCC